GGGGUCUCCCGGCGAAGCGCGGGUGACGUGGUGCUGAGGAAAGCGGCCUGAGGAGGAGGGUGGCCCUUGGGAAGAAGAACUACUUGUGUUUUUGCAGCCUGGGAACCCUGGUGGCAGGAUUUCUGCUGUGAUUGGGUUAUUAUACCCCUGCAUUGACAGACAUCUAGGAGAACCACAUAAAUUUAAAAGAGAGUGGUCCAGUGUAAUGCGGUGUGUAGCAGUCUUUGUUGGUAUAAAUCAUGCCAGUGCUAAAGUGGAUUUUGAUAACAACAUACAGUUGUCUCUCACACUGGCUGCACUAUCCAUUGGACUGUGGUGGACUUUUGAUAGAUCUAGAAGUGGUUUUGGCCUUGGAGUAGGAAUUGCCUUCUUGGCAACUGUGGUCACUCAACUGCUAGUAUAUAAUGGUGUUUAUCAAUAUACAUCUCCAGAUUUCCUCUAUGUUCGUUCUUGGUUACCAUGUAUAUUUUUUGCUGGAGGCAUAACAAUGGGAAACAUUGGUCGACAACUGGCAAUGUACGAAUGUAAAGUUAUCGCAGAAAAAUCUCAUCAGGAAUGAAGAAGGCAAAAAAUAUCUUUUGUACAGAAAAGCAAGAUGAAAAGGAUGUGAAAUGGUAGAUAUACCAA
RNAcentral lists this small RNA (627 nucleotides) under Pan troglodytes (chimpanzee). RNAcentral's name for it is "processed transcript". Lineage: Eukaryota; Metazoa; Chordata; Mammalia; Primates; Hominidae. The record is from RNAcentral.